RNAcentral lists this long non-coding RNA (1148 nucleotides) under Mytilus galloprovincialis (Mediterranean mussel). The record is from RNAcentral. Lineage: Eukaryota; Metazoa; Mollusca; Bivalvia; Mytilida; Mytilidae.
GUUUAUUGAUAUUUAAAAACUGUUUUGAUAGUGCUUCAUAUGUCCUUGUAAAAGAAAACCUAUUUAAUUCUAUUUGCAUAUUUAAAGCAUUUAAAUAGUAUGUUUAGAUAUUGUCUGGCUUUGGAAUUUGAGUGACUAGGACACAGGACACUACAGUUUACCUAAAGCUAGUGUCAUAUUUUAUUGGCUGUGAUGAGAUCAAUUACUGGAUUUGUACAUAUUUGACGGCACAAAAUUAUGAUACUCAACACACACAACAAGAAUUUUUUUUAACAAAUGUAUCAAAUCAGUUGUUAAAACUUGAUGACUGUUUAAGAAAAAAAAUAUUUUUUUACAAAAUUGAGCUUAACACUAUUUAUGGAAUUUCUUUGUAAUUUUUGGACAAAAAAAAGAAAAGCAACAUGUGUGCAAGAAUAAUAAAUGUUUUCAUCCAUUGGUGUAAGAAGUAAUGACGUAGUACUUAGUAUGUGUAUAAUGGUAUCAUUUUGCAAAAAGUUUUCAGGUAGGGGUAUUAUUCAAAUUAUCACUUUACAAAUUAUUAUAUAAAAAACUUUUUAAAUUGAUAUUACAUAGGGCAAUGCAUCAUAUGACCAUGUUCAGAAUAUUUUGGGGUUAAAAUUAAAAGAUGAAAACUAUGGUUCUGAGAACUUUAAGUGUUGCCCUACACUGCUCAAAGUUUUCAUGAUGAACCAAUCACAUACCGUUUUGAUUCUGGUUCCUUACCUGCAAGAAGAAUAAAAAAAUCUUCUUAGAUUACAAUUUGACAUUUUAAAUCCUCAAAAAGUCUUCUUACAUGUAACUGUAACAUUUUCUUUAUAUUUAGAUCUUACUUCUGGAUUGUGGCAACCCAUUGCGUUAAUUGUAUGUAAUAUUUUAUUUUUAAUAUAAAACUGAGGUGCAAUGAAGUGUGUUCACAUUAAAGGACUGCAUAACCAUUUCCACAAUGAAAUUUAUACAAGCACUUUUUUUUUUAUUUUGGAUAUUUUAACAUGUUUCUUGAGGUUUUAAUAGUUUUUGAUAAUUUAUGAUAGAAAGUUUUUACAACACUUUAAUUUUGAAUUAAUGACAUAUUAUUUUUUUGAGGAAAAACAGUAAAAUGAAAUUGGUGAAUAUAAAACUGCAAUAAAUAUGUUUGCAUUUACUGUAUA